RNAcentral lists this small RNA (110 nucleotides) under Escherichia coli. Its description in RNAcentral is "partial RtT sRNA". It matches the Rfam family "RtT RNA", at positions 1 to 108 of the family's 130-position model. From Rfam's summary of the family: This family represents a bacterial cis-regulatory element known as RtT RNA. The exact function of RtT is unknown although it is thought that it may be involved in changing the cellular response in relation to amino acid starvation. The record is from RNAcentral. RNAcentral also lists the same sequence under 1 other name. Lineage: Bacteria; Pseudomonadati; Pseudomonadota; Gammaproteobacteria; Enterobacterales; Enterobacteriaceae.
AUUCUGCCCAAGCGGGGAAGGAUGAGAAGCUUCGACCAAGGUUCGACUUGAGCGCCAGCGAGAGAGCGUUGCCGCAGGCAACGACCCGAAGGGCGAAGCGCGCAGCGCUG